This 253-nucleotide ribosomal RNA is filed under the name uncultured bacterium. RNAcentral describes it as "partial 16S ribosomal RNA". It matches the Rfam family "Bacterial small subunit ribosomal RNA", at positions 524 to 776 of the family's 1533-position model. The record is from RNAcentral.
UACGUAGGGUGCAAGCGUUGUCCGGAAUUAUUGGGCGUAAAGAGCUCGUAGGCGGUCUGUCGCGUCUGUUGUGAAAACUCGAGGCUCAACCUCGGGCUUGCAGUGGAUACGGGCAGACUAGAGUGCGGUAGGGGAGACUGGAAUUCCUGGUGUAGCGGUGGAAUGCGCAGAUAUCAGGAGGAACACCGGUGGCGAAGGCGGGUCUCUGGGCAGUUACUGACGCUGAGGAGCGAAAGCAUGGGGAGCGAACAGG